This 467-nucleotide ribosomal RNA is filed under the name uncultured bacterium. RNAcentral describes it as "partial 16S ribosomal RNA". It matches the Rfam family "Bacterial small subunit ribosomal RNA", at positions 28 to 506 of the family's 1533-position model. The record is from RNAcentral.
GACGAACGCUGGCGGCGUGCUUAACACAUGCAAGUCGAACGGAACGGCCCUGCCUUUGUGGGGUGCUCGAGUGGCGAACGGGUGAGUAACACGUGAGUACCCUGCCAUUGACUUUGGGAUACCUUAAGAAAACUGGGGCUAAUACCGGAUAGGAGCUCCUGCUUCAUGGUGGGGGUUGGAAAGUUUCGGCGGUUGGGGAUGGACUCGCGGCUUAUCAGCUUGUUGGUGGGGUAGUGGCUUACCAAGGCUUUGCCGGGUAGCCGGCCUGAGAGGGUGACCGGCCACAUAGGGACUGAGAUACGGCCCGGACACCUACGGGAGGCAGCAGUGGGGAAUAUUGCUCAAUGGGCGGAAGCCUGAUGGAGCAACGCCGCGUGCGGGAUGACGGCCUUCGAGUUGUAAACCGCUUUCGCCUGUGACGAAGCGUGAGUGACUGUAAUUGGUAAAGAAGCACCGGCUAACUACGU